CAUAGUUACCAAAUAAAAAAUUGUUUAGUGUCAAAAUUUACUGUGUAAAGAAAAAAAAUUUGUCAAAGUGAAAUUGUAAAUUCAUUUGUUUUAUUUGUGUAUAUGUGUAUAAAUCUAUUAUUUUAAUUCAAAAUGGAAGUUGACCCAUGCAAUAAUCAGUUUGUGGAGCAGGCGGAUAACAAGCUGACCUCUAACGAUGAAUGUGAACGUAUGGAUACAGCUGUACACCCGCAGGAAAAUAAGGAAUUGAACAUAGCCCUGACUAUCAAUCCCAAGGCCGAUGAAUUUGAGAAUCCUCCAUGUUACCUUCCACAACCGGGUGAUGAGCUUCCUUCUAAAGAUCUGCUCAAACCGAUGGGUCCCAUUGGCCCAUGGGCAACAGGAAAAGUGGAUUGGAGUCCUAUGGCGGGUUUAACGGGUACGCGACCGGUUGUAGACCGUUAUUCAAUAACACGCUUCAGUCCCAAUGAGUGGCGCGCAAAAAACAAGGAGACGUUGCAAAAAACCAAUGAUAUUUUCGACAAGGCUAUCAAAAACCAGUACAGCUCGAAAACGGCAUUUAUGCGUAUCAGUGCGUUGGUCGAGAAGACACAAGCGGAAACCACCAAAAAUUUGACACAACGCGCCCAACUGGUGGGCAAGUGGAAAACUACUCUGGAAACGGCUAUAAAAAGUAUGGCAGAUGAAAUCAGCACUUUGGAAGAGGAACGAAUCCGAUUGAAGAAAUCAUUAGUUAUUUUGGGUGUUCCUGAAUCGAUAGCUAAAGAGUGUAUAGAGAAGCGUGCAGGACGACCCGAUACCGAAUUAGUUCGAGACUCGCCUGAGGAAGAGCUUAUUAAUGAAUUGGCGCUGAUUGCAGAGAUCCGUCAGCAGCUUAAAAAAACAUUGGAAGAUUUUGAGCAACAGCAGGUAGAAAAUCGUACGGCAAGACAACGUCUUGAAUAUGAUUGGAGCGACAAAAAGGAAGCCUAUGAAAUUGAUACAAUUAACGUGGGACUUAAUAACUUCUCGAAAACAAUAAUGUUUCGGCCAGGUGCAAUACGCCAGCCACCUGAACAAGCAUCCGAACAAUAUUGGGAGCAUUUCAGUAAGGAAACACUGGAGGAAUGUGAGAAGUGUCGACAAAAAUCUGUCAAAUUACGACAAACACUCAAUUCUAUUUUGAUGAAUGCUGCGCGUGAUAUACGCAACCAGGCAGAUGUGGUGGAACGUGCAUUUAUUGCACGCAUAAAUUGCACUCAAGAAAAUCUACAACGAUUUGAAAAUGAGCUGCGCGAUUGCCUCCAAAAGCUGGCCGAUACUGAGACACGUAUUGUUCAAUUGCAUCGUGCGGUUCGAAGCUUUGAUGCAGCUAUGAAGGUGGCUCAGACCCGCAUGGAUAAUCGUAGCUACCGGCCUAAUGUUGAGAAUUGUCGUGAUUUUGCACAGCAAGACCUCAUCGACGAGGUGGCAACAAUACAAAGCGGUGUCACAGCUAUGUUGGCUGAGUUGGAUGCGGCAGAAAAUAUAAAAACAGGCCUAAUGCAAACACGUAGCACUCUGGAACGCGAAAUCAUGUUAAAACGACGAACAUUGUGGUUGGAUCGUGACCGUUGCAUGUUGCUACGCUCCCAUUAUCCAUCAGCUAGUGCAUUAAGUGGGUUCGCCAGCAUGUAAAUUUGAAAUGAAUUGAAUUUCUAAAAUCAUCAUAUAUAACAAGAAGUAGACAUAUUUGUUCACGACAAAGCUGGAUUUAUACCAAUUGAUGAAAUAUACUGAUUUAUUCUUUGGUGGAGAAAUGCUUGGCGUGUAGUACAUAUCACUAUGUAGUGGUAAAGCAAUUUAUAACUUGAUUUGUUCGCGAUUUUCGUAUCUCCAAGUGUGCCAUAGCAAAAUUCAGCGAAGGUCGCUUAAAUAUUAUUGGAAUGUGCGCUAUGAGAAUCGCGAAUUGUUGACUUUGUAUGCACUUCUAAUCAAUUUUUUUAAAGAAACCUGAAAGACAAGUUUUCAGUUAUCACUGCUUAGCCCUGACCGUUCUUUUGAAGUUCAAAAUUUAUUUAAAUGGCUACUGAACGCUGUACAAUGCACUAUGGCCGAAAUUGCGAUUUUAGCGGCAAAAAGUCAAUUUUUCAAAUUUAAAUUUUUGCAAUUAUUUUGAUGGUGUUCAAUACCCAACAUAUUGAUAAGAAUAAAUUAAAAAAAAAAAUUACUGUUGGCAACCCUGUUAAUGUACAAACAGCUGGUAAUGUUUACAAAUUUUUUAGUACGUGUUAAUACAAGUGAAGCAGCAAAAUUUUUAUAAAAUUAAAAACUGUUUUUUAAUAAUAUAUUCUUGUAAAAAAAACUUUGUAAAUAUGAGUUCUAUUACUCGAGAAACACUCAGGUUCAAAAAUUCUGAACUAUUUGAGUUUUGGUUGAGAAACAACAGGAAUGUUUCGAAUUACAUAAAAGGAAAGAUUUCAUACGAAAUUGACAGUGAAUUAAUUAAAUUGAUAUAUACUAAAGCCCGGAACUUAUCUAAUUUUAUUAAACUUAAAUGGAAUAAACAAUCCAGAAAUGAGAAUGCAUUUAGAAAAUGUAAUAAGAAAUGGUUGAGUGGAGAAACAAUUUUUGUAAUACCGAAAAAGAUUAAUACUAUUGGGCGACCAAAACUGACGUAUGAUGAUAGCUGCGAAAGAAAUAAAAGGAGAUUAGCUUCCGAAUUAGCUUCCCAGCAAGGAAACAAUGCGCAAUUAUUAGUUCAUGCUGCCUCUAUAUCUGCCAAAAAAUCCCACGCAACGGAUUUGAAAUUUGUCCUACAGUAAGUUGCUACAUCUCCAAAUCGCCCAUCCAAAAUUCGAGAAGUUCUUAAUACUAGCCAUAAAGAAGUUACGCCAGUAUCACCUGAUGAAGCUCUAAUGUUUGUGUUAGAAAACGGAUUAACUAAAAAGGUGUACUCAAAUAUGCGGCAAUUAAACAUAAAACACAAUUGUAGUAUUUAUCCGACUUAUGAUAAAGUUUAUGAAAGCAAAUUGAAAUGUAGACCGGAUGAAAUCAAAGCGAAUGAAAGCUCUGUCGAAGUGUCGUUGCAAAAUUUGUUAGACCACACAGCUAAAAGAAUUCUUGAAUAUCAAGAUGAAGUAUUGUGUACAACGAAGAUUAAGAUUAGUCCAUAAGCAUUUACAACUUCUUUAAAAUUAUAAAUUUAUGAAUUAAAAAAUAAAUUAAUUUCUUGGUAGCA
Zeugodacus cucurbitae (melon fly) is the source of this 3199-nucleotide RNA transcript. It is a transcript of the gene named tektin-4, with no coding region annotated. The transcript is spliced from 10 exons. The record is from RefSeq and is a predicted model, not a curated record. Lineage: Eukaryota; Metazoa; Arthropoda; Insecta; Diptera; Tephritidae.